RNAcentral lists this ribosomal RNA (513 nucleotides) under Acontista cordillerae. RNAcentral describes it as "partial 16S ribosomal RNA". The stretch from base 386 to 513 matches the Rfam family "Bacterial large subunit ribosomal RNA", at positions 2473 to 2600 of the family's 2925-position model. The record is from RNAcentral. Lineage: Eukaryota; Metazoa; Arthropoda; Insecta; Mantodea; Acanthopidae.
GGUUUCUUGAUUUUAUAGGAGAUUUAACCUGCCCACUGAAUGAUUGUUGAAGGGCCGCAGUAAUUUGACUGUGCAAAGGUAGCAUAAUCAUUAGUCUUUUAAUUAGAGGCUGGAAUGAAUGGUUGGACAAGGUAAAUGCUAUUUUAUAUUAAAAAAUUGAAUUUUGAUUUUAAGUAAAAAGACUUAAAUGUUAUUAAGGGACGAGAAGACCCUAUAGAGUUUAAUAAAUGUAAUUUUAAUUAAGUUUUUAUUAAAAAUUUUUAAUUAAUUAUGUAAUUUAUUUAGUUGGGGUGAUAAAAAGAUAACUAAACUCUUUUUAAAGUUUAAUAUCUAUUAAUAGAAUAAUGAUCCAUUAAUAAUGAUUAUAAGACUAAAUUACCUUAGGGAUAACAGCAUAAUUUCUUUUAAGAGUUCUUAUCAAAAAAGAAGUUUAUGACCUCGAUGUUGGAUUAAGAUAAAUUUUAGGUGUAGAUGUUUAAAUAAUUAGGUCUGUUCGACCUUUAAAAUCUUACA